This 844-nucleotide ribosomal RNA is filed under the name uncultured bacterium. RNAcentral describes it as "bacterial SSU rRNA". It matches the Rfam family "Bacterial small subunit ribosomal RNA", at positions 8 to 819 of the family's 1533-position model. The record is from RNAcentral.
AGAGUUUGAUCCUGGCUCAGGACGAACGCUGGCGGCGUGCGUAACACAUGCAAGUCGAACGAGAGAGUGAGAGAAGCUUGCUUUUCUUACGAUCGAGUGGCAAACGGGUGAGUAACGCGUAAACAACCUGCCCCGCAGAUGGGGACAACAGCUGGAAACGGCUGCUAAUGCCGAAUACGCUCCUCUUAGCGCAUGGUAAGAGGAAGAAAGGGUGGCCUCUGGAACAAGCUACCGCUGUGGGAGGGGUUUGCGUCUGAUUAGCUGGUUGGAGGGGUAACGGCCCACCAAGGCGACGAUCAGUAGCCGGUCUGAGAGGAUGAACGGCCACAUUGGAACUGAGACACGGUCCAGACUCCUACGGGAGGCAGCAGUGGGGAAUCUUCCGCAAUGGGCGAAAGCCUGACGGAGCAACGCCGCGUGAGUGAAGACGGCCUUCGGGUUGUAAAGCUCUGUUAUAGGGGACGAACGGCCGGGUAGCGAAGAGGUAGCCGGCAUGACGGUACCGUAAGAGAAAGCCACGGCUAACUACGUGCCAGCAGCCGCGGUAAUACGUAGGUGGCAAGCGUUGUCCGGAAUGAUUGGGCGUAAAGGGCGCGCAGGCGGCUGUGUAAGUCUGUCUAAAAAGUGCGGGGCUAAACCCCGUGAGAGGAUGGAAACUGGACAGCUGAGAGUGUCGGAGAGGAAAGCGGAAUUCCUAGUGUAGCGGUGAAAUGCGUAGAUAUUAGGAGGAACACCGGUGGCGAAAGCGGCUUUCUGGACGACAACUGACGCUGAGGCGCGAAAGCCAGGGGAGCAAACGGGAUUAGAUACCCCGGUAGUCCUGGCCGUAAACGAUGGGUACUAG